This is a long non-coding RNA of Salvelinus namaycush (lake trout), 316 nucleotides long. RefSeq lists it as uncharacterized. The transcript has 3 exons. NCBI's taxonomy places the organism in Eukaryota, Metazoa, Chordata, Actinopteri, Salmoniformes, Salmonidae. The record is from RefSeq and is a predicted model, not a curated record.
CACAGUGGGGGUAUUUGUUAAACUGAUAUUCAAGGUCAAAACACCAGUCCCCACUGAGGAUGAUGUCCUUGGUGCCGUCAAGAAGCAAUUGUCUCCUCAAUUCACGACCACUCAAACCACCUUCCAGAAUGCAACUUAUAUCAAACUUACAGAUACUUCAUUUGCCAUCGACCUUGGUUUCAAAAUAACCAAUGUAACCCAGGAGUCUCUAAGUAAUAGACUCACACUCACCAAUGAGACCGAGAUCCAGGAUUCAAUUAACAGACUACUCCAUAAGGUUCUCAGUGAACCAGACGGCAAACAGUUUCAAUUUCCC